UACCUGUCGGAACAUGGAGGAGGAGCUGGCAACAACUGGGCCAGCGGAUUCUCCCAGGUGUCCAGGCGACCAUUCCAGAGACCUUUGAUAUUCCCAUCCAGAGGGUGAGAAAAUUCAUGAAGACAUCUUUGACAUCAUAGACCGAGAAGCAGAUGGAAGUGACAGUUUGGAGGUGAAGUUAUGGAGUGGGGGAAGGAAUGGGCAGGGAGGCCGAAGAGUGCUGGGGAAAGGUCAGGAGGUGGCCUGGAUAGGUAAUAUGAGGGGAGCAAUUCAAUUCAAAACCCGUUUAUGGAGCAUCAGAUGUGGGAUAUUGAGGUGAAUAAGAUAUAAUCUUUGUUCUCAAGGAAGUCAUAAAUCUGAAUGGCACCGGCCCCUUAGGCAUGAGUCAUUCAGCUGCUUCUCCAGCUCCAAACCUUCCCAAGGAGCCUCAGCCUGGAUGCAUAAGAGGAAGCUUUGAGACAUUGGCGUUUUGGGAAUGGAGAAUGAACCAAGCCGAAGUCUCUCCCCCAGAUCCUUGGAGACUGCCUCUCCAUCUCUCCCCAUGCUGGGUGCGAUAUGUUCCUGGCUUACAGCUCUUAUAACCCAUGUAAUUUCCUAAGGGACUAGAGCAAUAAUAGUAUGUUUUGUUAAAAUAUUUGACCUUUUGUCCUUGGUUUCUGAAACAGCUCCAGAACAGCUCCAGAGUGAUAAAGGUGAAAGACAGUCUUUUGUUAUUUAUAACAAGCCCGUUUCUUUUAGUUUAAUCUUUCAUUUUAUUUUAAUUAGUUAAUUUUACUAACCACUGUACUAAGGAACAAGUGCCUUUCAACCAAACCUGAGCUUAUGUUAAAGAGGCGAUUUUUGGAAAGUCCCA
RNAcentral lists this small RNA (853 nucleotides) under Pan troglodytes (chimpanzee). Its description in RNAcentral is "retained intron". The record is from RNAcentral. Lineage: Eukaryota; Metazoa; Chordata; Mammalia; Primates; Hominidae.